UUUUACGGAGAGUUUGAUCCUGGCUCAGGACGAACGCUGGCGGCGUGCUUAACACAUGCAAGUCGAACGAUGAAGCCCAGCUUGCUGGG
This 89-nucleotide ribosomal RNA is filed under the name Rathayibacter sp. AY1E3. RNAcentral's name for it is "partial 16S ribosomal RNA". It matches the Rfam family "Bacterial small subunit ribosomal RNA", at positions 1 to 87 of the family's 1533-position model. Lineage: Bacteria; Bacillati; Actinomycetota; Actinomycetes; Micrococcales; Microbacteriaceae. The record is from RNAcentral.